Pipistrellus kuhlii (Kuhl's pipistrelle) is the source of this 1105-nucleotide RNA transcript. RefSeq lists it as uncharacterized. The transcript has 3 exons. NCBI's taxonomy places the organism in Eukaryota, Metazoa, Chordata, Mammalia, Chiroptera, Vespertilionidae. The record is from RefSeq and is a predicted model, not a curated record.
UGAUAGGUUGGGCUGAUUCUUCUGGGGGGAAUCCAACUCUUAUGGGGGUGCAGCUGUCCGACCUUUAUCCCUUCCCUUCUUUUUGCCACUUCACGGGCAGGGAACUACGGAUCCCUGAAAGUUGGAAUGUCCCCUGCCCAAGCCAGAGGGAAAUAGUAAAAGCUCAUAUGGCUGAGUCAUAAGAGAGGCUCCAAGCAGGACUGACAGCCACGGCCUGCUUUCCUCUGGGCAGAGGUUCUGGGCCUCCCAAAUGGGACUGCUCUCACCUGGGCCACUUGUCUAAAACCAGCAGCACCACCUGCAUCGCCAUCACCUUCAUCACCACCACCAUUGGAAAGCUGAGCAGGUGGAGUUUCAUUCCCGAAGGGAGAGCCCUCAUCGCUGUGUUAUCAGAAACAAAGCAAAAGGCUUUGGAGCCAAGGUUGACUUCUCAUCCCAGAUCCAUAAAUCUCAGCUCCUGUGGCUUGCUCACUCUUCCAGAGGCUUCCGGGCUGACCAGAACCAGCUGGCCGCCUCCCCAGUCUCCUUGUUCCCUCCCUCUUGCUGCCCGGGACCACCUCUCAAAUAAGCUAUGUGCCCAAAUCUGUGUCUCAGGCUCUGCUUCCAGCGGCCCCUGAACAACUCUGCCUCUCACCACCUUGCUCAGCUCACCCUGACAUGACGUCCAAUACACAUUCCUGUUUCCUGCCUGAGGUCAUGAGCCCUGCGGACCCCAGACAGACGGAGUCGGUGGGUUCUGGGAGCAGAAGUUCCCUGAGAAGAUGGGUGGUGUUUGUUCCCUGGAAAGCGUGGCAGACUGUCAGUUACACAAUAUAUCUCAAGGGCUUUUAGAUGACGAUGAUGAUGAUGAUGAUGACGACGACGAUGGCAAUGACCACAAUGAUAGUGGUGAUGACCACAAUGAUGGUGACGCUGAGAAUGCUGCUGCUAACAAUCCGAUAAGCUGCUGGAAAACAACCUGGAUCAACAUUUUCCCUGGGAAUCACUCAGCUGCCUCUAGAUGAGUGUCUGAAGGGCAAACUAUCCAAACUACCAGAUCUUUCACAGCCAUUAGCCACCUCCAUGGAGAGCAAUUAUUCUCCCUCCACACUUACACAUCCACAUC